Molecule: non-coding RNA, 135 nt
Organism: Triticum aestivum (bread wheat)
Lineage: Eukaryota; Viridiplantae; Streptophyta; Magnoliopsida; Poales; Poaceae
Source: Rfam
CAAAUACUCCCUCCGUCCAGAAAUACUUGUCAUCAAAAUGGAUAAAAGGAAAUGUAUCUAGACGUAUUUUAGUUUUAGAUACAUCUCUUUUUAUCCAUUUUGAUGACAACUAUUUUUGGACGGAGGGAGUAUUUA